This 527-nucleotide ribosomal RNA is filed under the name Palaemon paludosus. RNAcentral describes it as "SSU rRNA". It matches the Rfam family "Eukaryotic small subunit ribosomal RNA", at positions 1304 to 1782 of the family's 1831-position model. The record is from RNAcentral. Lineage: Eukaryota; Metazoa; Arthropoda; Malacostraca; Decapoda; Palaemonidae.
GAGCGAUUUGUCUGGUUAAUUUCGAUAACGAACGAGACUUUGGCCUGGCUAAUAGUAUCCCUGUCCUCUGUGCUCGUGCAGGCGGCGGUGCUCAUUGCCCUCAAAGGUGAUGGUGCUGUUUGCCGGCGCUGUACGGUGCAGGUGUAUACUUCUUAGAGGGACAAGCGGCUUUUAGUCGCACGAAAUUGAGCAAUAACAGGUCUGUGAUGCCCUUAGAUGUCCGGGGCCGCACGUGCGCUACAAUGACGGUAUCAGCGAGUCUGGGACCCUGGCCCGAAAGGGUUGGGCAACCUGAACCAUAUCCGUCGUGAUAGGGAUCGGGGCUUGCAAUUGUUCCCCGUGAACGAGGAAUUCCUAGUAAGUGCAAGUCAUAAGCUUGCGUUGAUUACGUCCCUGCCCUUUGUACACACCGCCCGUCGCUACUACCGAUUGAAUGGUUUAGUAAGGUCCUCGGAUUGGUUCUANGUAGCUGCUUCGGCAGCUCGCCCAGCGUUGAGAAGACGCCCAAACUUGAUCAUUAGAGGAAA